UAGGGAAUCUUCCACAAUGGACGCAAGUCUGAUGGAGCAACGCCGCGUGAGUGAAGAAGGGUUUCGGCUCGUAAAGCUCUGUUGUUAAAGAAGAACGUGGGUAAGAGUAACUGUUUAGGUAUUGACGGUAUUUAACCAGAAAGCCACGGCUAACUACGUGCUAG
Molecule: ribosomal RNA, 164 nt
Filed under: uncultured bacterium
Lineage: Bacteria
Description: partial 16S ribosomal RNA
Rfam family: Bacterial small subunit ribosomal RNA
Source: RNAcentral